GACGAACGCUGGCGGCGUGCCUAACACAUGCAAGUCGAGCGAUGAUGUUCCUUCGGGAACUGAUUAGCGGCGGACGGGUGAGUAACACGUGGGCAACCUGCCUUGUAGUGGGGAAUAGCCUUUCGAAAGGAAGAUUAAUACCCCAUAAUAUUUCAGUUUCGCAUGAAGCAGAAAUUAAAGGAGCAAUCCGCUACAAGACGGGCCCGCGUCGCAUUAGCUAGUUGGUAAGGUAAUGGCUUACCAAGGCGACGAUGCGUAGCCAACCUGAGAGGGUGAUCGGCCACAUUGGGACUGAGACACGGCCCAGACUCCUACGGGAGGCAGCAGUGGGGAAUAUUGCACAAUGGGGGAAACCCUGAUGCAGCAACGCCGCGUGAGUGAUGACGGCCUUCGGGUUGUAAAGCUCUGUCUUUGGGGACGAUAAUGACGGUACCCAAGGAGGAAGCCACGGCUAACUACGUGCCAGCAGCCGCCGUAAAAC
RNAcentral lists this ribosomal RNA (481 nucleotides) under uncultured bacterium. RNAcentral describes it as "bacterial SSU rRNA". It matches the Rfam family "Bacterial small subunit ribosomal RNA", at positions 28 to 526 of the family's 1533-position model. The record is from RNAcentral.